RNAcentral lists this ribosomal RNA (218 nucleotides) under uncultured Alcaligenaceae bacterium. RNAcentral's name for it is "partial 16S ribosomal RNA". It matches the Rfam family "Bacterial small subunit ribosomal RNA", at positions 1165 to 1382 of the family's 1533-position model. Lineage: Bacteria; Pseudomonadati; Pseudomonadota; Betaproteobacteria; Burkholderiales; Alcaligenaceae. The record is from RNAcentral.
GGAGGAAGGUGGGGAUGACGUCAAGUCCUCAUGGCCCUUAUGGGUAGGGCUUCACACGUCAUACAAUGGUCGGGACAGAGGGUUGCCAACCCGCGAGGGGGAGCUAAUCCCAUAAACCCGAUCGUAGUCCGGAUUGCAGUCUGCAACUCGACUGCAUGAAGUCGGAAUCGCUAGUAAUCGCGGAUCAGCAUGUCGCGGUGAAUACGUUCCCGGGUCUU